This 793-nucleotide ribosomal RNA is filed under the name Plagiodera versicolora (willow leaf beetle). RNAcentral's name for it is "12S ribosomal RNA". The record is from RNAcentral. Lineage: Eukaryota; Metazoa; Arthropoda; Insecta; Coleoptera; Chrysomelidae.
AAAUGCUUUUUAAUCAAGCUCUAAUUUGUAUCUAGAUUCACUUUCCAGUAAAUCUACUUUGUUACGACUUAUUUCACAUUAUAAUGAAAGCGACGGGCGAUAUGUACAUAUUUUAGAGCUAAAAUCACUUUAAUAAAUUCAUUAAAAUUACUUUCAAAUCCUAAUUCAAAUUACUUUAAAAAUAACUAUCAAAAAUUAAAUUAUAGUAACCCAUUUCUUCUUAUUUAUAAACUACAUCUUGAUCUGAUUUUUUUUAUUAUUUUAAAUCUUAAAUAUUAAAAUUCUUAUAAAAUAUUUAAACUACGACGAUAUGUAAAUUAAUUAAAAAUAAGUAAAUUAAAUCGUGGACUAUCAAUUACAGAACAGGUUCCUCUGAAUAGACUAAAAUACCGCCAAAAUCUUUAAUUUUAAAGAUCAUAACUAUUACUAAUUUAGUCCUUAAAUUUACGUUUUUAUAAUAGGGUAUCUAAUCCUAGUUUAUUAUAAAGUUUCCUAAAUCAUUAACAAAACUAAAUCUUUUAUAAAUUUAAAAUUUCACUUAAUAAAUUUAACCUAAAAAUUUUAAUUUAUCAAUUUAUUAAAACUAAACUAAUUUAAUUGUAUUAUUUGUGUAACCGCAACUGCUGGCACAAAUUAAGUUAAUACUAUAAUUAUUACUAAAUCUAAAUUUCUUUAAUAUUUAAAAUUAUUUAUUGCAAACUAAUUUAUUAUUUAAAAUUAUUACACUAAAAUUUACAUUUAAAUUAAAAUUAAACUAAAUUUUAAAGUUUAAAUAAAACUUUAUAAACUUAUU